AACGCGAAGAACCUUACCUGGGCUCGAAAUGUAGAGGAAUCCGGUAGAAAUAUCGGCGUCUAGCAAUAGACCUCUAUAUAGGUGCUGCAUGGCUGUCGUCAGCUCGUGUCGUGAGAUGUUGGGUUAAGUCCCGCAACGAGCGCAACCCUCACCCUUAGUUGCUCGUCCGCAAGGAAAGCACCCUAAGGGAACUGCCUCGGAUAACGGGGAGGAAGGUGGGGAUGACGUCAAGUCCUCAUGGCCUUUAUGCCCAGGGCUACACACGUGCUACAAUGGCCGGUACAAACCGUUGCUAACCCGCGAGGGGGAGCCAAUCGGAAAAAACCGGUCUCAGUUCGGAUUGCAGGCUGCAACUCGCCUGCAUGAAGCUGGAAUCGCUAGUAAUCACGUAUCAGAACGACGUGGUGAAUACGUUCCCGGGCCUUGUACACACCGCUAGUC
Molecule: ribosomal RNA, 441 nt
Filed under: uncultured bacterium
Lineage: Bacteria
Description: bacterial SSU rRNA
Rfam family: Bacterial small subunit ribosomal RNA
Source: RNAcentral